This 71-nucleotide transfer RNA is filed under the name Wolfiporia cocos. RNAcentral describes it as "tRNA-Ile". It matches the Rfam family "tRNA". Rfam says of the family: Transfer RNA (tRNA) molecules are approximately 80 nucleotides in length. Their secondary structure includes four short double-helical elements and three loops (D, anti-codon, and T loops). The record is from RNAcentral. Lineage: Eukaryota; Fungi; Basidiomycota; Agaricomycetes; Polyporales; Phaeolaceae.
AAGCCUAUAAUUUAAAGGUAGAAUGAUUCAUCGAUAAUGAAUAAGUAGGAGUUCAACUCUUCUUGGGCUUA